RNAcentral lists this ribosomal RNA (276 nucleotides) under Triticum aestivum (bread wheat). RNAcentral's name for it is "partial small subunit ribosomal RNA". Lineage: Eukaryota; Viridiplantae; Streptophyta; Magnoliopsida; Poales; Poaceae. The record is from RNAcentral.
AUGGAGACCGACUGUCUAGAGGUGGUGAACCUCUGGAACUCGCGCUUCACCGACCGGUCGGUGAUUGCACCUAUUCUGGCAGAAGUUGAAGAGUUAACUCUUAGUUUUAAUUCUUUUAUUAUUCAACAUGUAAUGAGAUCAGCGAACGGUCCUGCACAUCUUUGUGCUAAGCGAGGUUGUUCGCUUAAUGUGACUGAAAGCUGGCUAGACUCCACUCCUAGCUUCCUGAUCAGCAGCUUACUGGCUGACUGCUCGGCGAAUGCGUUCGUUGAAUAA